GAAGUGCUAGUCUAAGGUCGUAGGAGGUUGUACAGGCAAAUCCGUAUAACAAUACUCCGAGAACUGAAAGGCUUUUUGAAGUCUUCGGAUGGAUAGAAGAACCCCUGAUGCCGUCGAGCCAAGAAAAGUUUCUAAGUUUAGCUAAUGUUGCCCGUACCGUAAACCGACACAGGUGGGUGGGAUGAGUAUUCUAAGGCGCGUGGAAGAACUCUCUUUAAGGAACUCUGCAAAAUAGCACCGUAUCUUCGGUAUAAGGUGUGGUUAGCUUCGUACUAGGAUUUACUCCGAAAGCGAAGAAACUUACAACAAAGAGUCCCUCCCGACUGUUUACCAAAAACACAGCACUCUGCUAACUCGUAAGAGGAUGUAUAGGGUGUGACGCCUGCCCGGUGCUCGAAGGUUAAUUGAUGGGGUUAGCAUUAGCGAAGCUCUUGAUCGAAGCCCGAGUAAACGGCGGCCGUAACUAUAACGGUCCUAAGGUAGCGAAAUUCCUUGUCGGUUAAAUACCGACCUGCAUGAAUGGCGUAACGAGAUGGGAGCUGUCUCAAAGAGGGAUCCAGUGAAAUUGUAGUGGAGGUGAAAAUUCCUCCUACCCGCGGCAAGACGGAAAGACCCCGUGGACCUUUACUACAGCUUGACACUGCUACUUGGAUAAGAAUGUGCAGGAUAGGUGGGAGGCUUUGAGUAUAUGACGCCAGUUGUAUAUGAGCCAUUGUUGAGAUACCACUCUUUCUUAUUUGGGUAGCUAACCAGCUUGAGUUAUCCUCAAGUGGGACAAUGUCUGGUGGGUAGUUUGACUGGGGCGGUCGCCUCCCAAAUAAUAACGGAGGCUUACAAAGGUUGGCUCAGAACGGUUGGAAAUCGUUCGUAGAGUAUAAAGGUAUAAGCCAGCUUAACUGCAAGACAUACAAGUCAAGCAGAGACGAAAGUCGGUCUUAGUGAUCCGGUGGUUCUGUGUGGAAGGGCCAUCGCUCAAAGGAUAAAAGGUACCCCGGGGAUAACAGGCUGAUCUCCCCCAAGAGCUCACAUCGACGGGGAGGUUUGGCACCUCGAUGUCGGCUCAUCGCAUCCUGGGGCUGGAGCAGGUCCCAAGGGUAUGGCUGUUCGCCAUUUAAAGCGGUACGCGAGCUGGGUUCAGAACGUCGUGAGACAGUUCGGUCCCUAUCUGCCGUGGGCGUAAGAAGAUUGAAGAGAUUUGACCCUAGUACGAGAGGACCGGGUUGAACAAACCACUGGUGUAGCUGUUGUUCUGCCAAGAGCAUCGCAGCGUAGCUAAGUUUGGAAAGGAUAAACGCUGAAAGCAUCUAAGCGUGAAGCCAACUCUAAGAUGAAUCUUCUCUAAGCUCUCUAGAAGACUACUAGUUUGAUAGGCUGGGUGUGUAAUGGAUGAAAGUCCUUUAGCUGACCAGUACUAAUAGAGCGUUUGGCUUAUCUUUAAUAAAGCAU
This 1446-nucleotide ribosomal RNA is filed under the name Campylobacter jejuni. Its description in RNAcentral is "partial 23S ribosomal RNA". It matches the Rfam family "Bacterial large subunit ribosomal RNA", at positions 1501 to 2925 of the family's 2925-position model. The record is from RNAcentral. Lineage: Bacteria; Pseudomonadati; Campylobacterota; Epsilonproteobacteria; Campylobacterales; Campylobacteraceae.